This 663-nucleotide ribosomal RNA is filed under the name uncultured earthworm cast bacterium. RNAcentral describes it as "bacterial SSU rRNA". It matches the Rfam family "Bacterial small subunit ribosomal RNA", at positions 56 to 720 of the family's 1533-position model. The record is from RNAcentral.
UGCAAGUCGAGGGGUAUAGGUUUUCGGACCUAGAGACCGGCGCACGGGUGCGUAACGCGUAUGCAAUCUACCUUUUACAGAGGGAUAGCCCAGAGAAAUUUGGAUUAAUACCUCAUAGUAUAAUGACUCGGCAUCGAGAUAUUAUUAAAGUCACAACGGUAAAAGAUGAGCAUGCGUCCCAUUAGCUUGUUGGUAAGGUAACGGCUUACCAAGGCAACGAUGGGUAGGGGUCCUGAGAGGGAGAUCCCCCACACUGGUACUGAGACACGGACCAGACUCCUACGGGAGGCAGCAGUGAGGAAUAUUGGUCAAUGGGCGCAAGCCUGAACCAGCCAUGCCGCGUGCAGGAUGAAGCAUCUAUGGUGUGUAAACUGCUUUUGUACGAGAAGAAACACUCCUACGUGUAGGAGCUUGACGGUAUCGUAAGAAUAAGGACCGGCUAACUCCGUGCCAGCAGCCGCGGUAAUACGGAGGGUCCAAGCGUUAUCCGGAAUCAUUGGGUUUAAAGGGUCCGUAGGCGGUUUUGUAAGUCAGUGGUGAAAGCCCAUCGCUCAACGGUGGAACGGCCAUUGAUACUGCAAGACUUGAAUUAUUGGGAAGCAACUAGAAUAUGUAGUGUAGCGGUGAAAUGCUUAGAUAUUACAUGGAAUACCAAUUGCGAAG